GCCGAAGUGGUGGAAUUGGUAGACACGCACGGUUCAGGGCCGUGUGGCAGCAAUGUCAUAGGGGUUCGAAUCCCCUCUUCGGUACAA
RNAcentral lists this transfer RNA (87 nucleotides) under Ignavibacteria bacterium GWA2_36_19. RNAcentral describes it as "tRNA-Leu". It matches the Rfam family "tRNA". Rfam says of the family: Transfer RNA (tRNA) molecules are approximately 80 nucleotides in length. The record is from RNAcentral. Lineage: Bacteria; Pseudomonadati; Ignavibacteriota; Ignavibacteria. RNAcentral also lists the same sequence under 8 other names.